This 305-nucleotide ribosomal RNA is filed under the name uncultured bacterium. RNAcentral describes it as "bacterial SSU rRNA". It matches the Rfam family "Bacterial small subunit ribosomal RNA", at positions 333 to 636 of the family's 1533-position model. The record is from RNAcentral.
UGUAUCCUACGGGGGGCAGCAGUGAGGAAUAUUGGUCAAUGGGAGAGAUCCUGAACCAGCCAAGCCGCGUGAGGGAAGACGGCCCUAUGGGUUGUAAACCUCUUUUGUCGGAGAACAAAACCCGGGACGUGUCCCGGACUGCGUGUAUCCGAAGAAAAAGCAUCGGCUAACUCCGUGCCAGCAGCCGCGGUAAUACGGAGGAUGCGAGCGUUAUCCGGAUUUAUUGGGUUUAAAGGGUGCGUAGGCGGACGCUUAAUUCAGCGGUAAAAUUGCGGGGCUCAACCUCGUCGAGCCGUUGAAACUGG